CGUGUAGGCGGCUUGGUAGGUCUGCUGUGAAAACUCGAGGCUCAACCUCGAGCUGUCGGCGGAAACCACUUGGCUAGAGUCCGGAAGAGGAGAGUGGAAUUCCUGGUGUAGCGGUGAAAUGCGCAGAUAUCAGGAAGAACACCUAUGGCGAAGGCAGCUCUCUGGGACGGUACUGACGCUGAGACGCGAAAGCGUGGGGAGCGAACA
RNAcentral lists this ribosomal RNA (207 nucleotides) under uncultured bacterium. RNAcentral's name for it is "partial 16S ribosomal RNA". It matches the Rfam family "Bacterial small subunit ribosomal RNA", at positions 568 to 774 of the family's 1533-position model. The record is from RNAcentral.